This is a non-coding RNA of Canariomyces notabilis, 90 nucleotides long. Lineage: Eukaryota; Fungi; Ascomycota; Sordariomycetes; Sordariales; Chaetomiaceae. The record is from the annotation of a RefSeq genome assembly.
UCGGGUAUGGUGUAGCGGUAACAUCGUUGACUCUCAUGGCUUCUGUCUGAGUGCCCUCAACAGCCCGGGGUUCGACUCCCCGUAUCCGAG